This 514-nucleotide ribosomal RNA is filed under the name uncultured bacterium. RNAcentral's name for it is "partial 16S ribosomal RNA". It matches the Rfam family "Bacterial small subunit ribosomal RNA", at positions 28 to 523 of the family's 1533-position model. The record is from RNAcentral.
GAUGAACGCUGGCGGCGUGCCUAAUACAUGCAAGUCGAGCGAAUGGAUUAAGAGCUUGCUCUUAUGAAGUUAGCGGCGGACGGGUGAGUAACACGUGGGUAACCUGCCCAUAAGACUGGGAUAACUCCGGGAAACCGGGGCUAUACCGGAUAACAUUUUGAACCGCAUGGUUCGAAACUGAAAGGCGGCUUCGGCUGUCACUUAUGGAUGGACCCGCGUCGCAUUAGCUAGUUGGUGAGGUAACGGCUCACCAAGGCAACGAUGCGUAGCCGACCUGGGAGGGUGAUCGACCACACUGGGACUGAGACACGGCCCAGACUCCUACGGGAGGCAGCAGUAGGGAAUCUUCCGCAAUGGACGAAAGUCUGACGGAGCAACGCCGCGUGAGUGAUGAAGGCUUUCGGGUCGUAAAACUCUGUUGUUAGGGAAGAACAAGUGCUAGUUGAAUAAGCUGGCACCUUGACGGUACCUAACCAGAAAGUCACGGCUAACUACGUGCCAGCCGCCGCUGUAA